Molecule: unclassified non-coding RNA, 1237 nt
Filed under: Hevea brasiliensis (rubber tree)
Lineage: Eukaryota; Viridiplantae; Streptophyta; Magnoliopsida; Malpighiales; Euphorbiaceae
Source: RNAcentral
GUCCUUUAGCCUGCAAAGGGGUCAAGCUCACAUUUGCUCCCAUAAACUUCAGCAUUUGUUCCUCAGUUACACCCCCCUUAGGGGGCAUCCAUUCCGCACCAUGAAGCAAUGAAGACUCACCAUAACAGGAUCUAACCGCAGCGACAAACAAAGUGCUCCUAAAGAAACGCGUGUUUCCAUCAUAAGGUUCACCAUAAUGAGUCAAUGAUCUUACAUCAGCAACAGGCGGAGGACCAAGUUCAUCAUCAAACGCAAGGCAGUAGGCCUUCAACUCACGAUCAGUUUCCAGGUUCAUACGUUGCCCAAUUAAAAAUGCUGAAAGCAAAGAUUCACUGACUCCCGAGCAUUCGUUAUCUUUAACUUUCAAGGGAAGAACCUCUCUCAAAACGCCUUGGACCUCCUCAUAUCCAAGGUGACCACCAGCCAGGAUCUCUCUAAGGGCACCUACCAAUCUCAUUUCACUUGUACGAUUCCCAACAUACUGGGGACCAAUCGAACUCCCAGCUCCCAUAAUCGACCCUCGACCCUUCGGGAUCAGCAAUGAAGAUAACAUCAGGCGGCAGAGCUCGAACUAGCAGAGGCCAAAAGUUAUUCAUUGCCUGCUUUUCCCCUUCACUCCAUCGGGUUGCUUCCGGAAACGCAUUUGCACGAAUUGUCAUUGACGCGAAAAAGGCCCCAAGCUGCGCUUUUGAAACUUCCUCUUCACCUUUAAGCUCUCCCCUAGCUGAUCUUAAAAUGGUGUCUAGUACUUUAAAGGCUUGGUCUUCAUUGAGCGGCCUGGUCUGUGUAGGUCCUGUGCAAACCCUAGCCUGAGCAUCCAGCACCGUCUGAUUUGGUUUCGGCAACUCAGAGCUUCGAUACAAAGAAGAAACCGCCGGAUUCUUAAUAUCCGAUUCCGAAAUCCCCAACUGAUCAAUUGUUGCCGAGUCCAGAGAUGCUUUGGCGGUCAAACAGCAUUUCUGUCCAAUCCAAGGGUGUGGAACGAAUGAUAGAGAAGAGUGGAGUUUUGGACGGGUGAUAUUCCGUUGAUUGGUGAUGUGGAUUGAGAGAGAAGGUUCAGGAUUGAGCAGAACUUUCAUGGUGAUCUCUGCAGCUUCGGAAAAUGCGAAACGGAAAAGCGGAGGCGUGUCAGAGUUACUUCCUAGCUCCUAUUGCUGCUUCUGGUCAUGGAAGCUAAAAAUCGAAAUGAAAAAAAGGGGAAAAAAAAAAAAUCAAAACGCCAUGCGAUACGAUCCAA